ACGGAAGGCAGCAGUGGGGAAUAUUGGGCAAUGGGCGAAAGCCUGACCCAGCGACGCCGCGUGAAGGAAGACGGUCUUCGGAUUGUAAACUUCAGUCAACAGGGAAGAAGAAAGUGACGGUACCUGUGGAGGAAGCCACGGCUAACUACGUGCCAGCAGCCGCGGUAAUACGUAGGUGGCGAGCGUUAUCCGGAUUUACUGGGUGUAAAGGGUGUGUAGGCGGGGAAGCAAGUCAGAAGUGAAAACUAUGGGCUUAACUCAUAGCCUGCUUUUGAAACUGUUUUUCUUGAGAGUGGGAGAGGUAAAUGGAAUUCCCGGUGUAGCGGUGGAAUGCGUAGAUAUCGGGAGGAACACCAGUGGCGAAGGCGAUUUACUGGACCACAACUGACGCUGAGACACGAAAGCGUGGGGAGCAAACAGGAUUAGAUACCCUGGUA
This is a ribosomal RNA of 437 nucleotides. It matches the Rfam family "Bacterial small subunit ribosomal RNA", at positions 341 to 792 of the family's 1533-position model.